Molecule: ribosomal RNA, 469 nt
Filed under: uncultured bacterium
Lineage: Bacteria
Description: bacterial SSU rRNA
Rfam family: Bacterial small subunit ribosomal RNA
Source: RNAcentral
CGCUGGCGGCAUGCUUUACACAUGCAAGUCGAACGGCAGCGCGGGCUUCGGCCUGGCGGCGAGUGGCGAACGGGUGAGUAAUAUAUCGGAACGUACCCAAGAGUGGGGGAUAACGUAGCGAAAGUUACGCUAAUACCGCAUACGAUCUAUGGAUGAAAGCAGGGGACCGCAAGGCCUUGUGCUCCUGGAGCGGCCGAUAUCUGAUUAGCUAGUUGGUGAGGUAAAGGCUCACCAAGGCAACGAUCAGUAGCUGGUCUGAGAGGACGACCAGCCACACUGGAACUGAGACACGGUCCAGACUCCUACGGGAGGCAGCAGUGGGGAAUUUUGGACAAUGGGGGCAACCCUGAUCCAGCAAUGCCGCGUGAGUGAAGAAGGCCUUCGGGUUGUAAAGCUCUUUUGUCAGGGAAGAAACGGGUGGGGCUAAUAUCCCUAUCUAAUGACGGUACCUGAAGAAUAAGCACCGGCU